This 1259-nucleotide long non-coding RNA is filed under the name Equus caballus (horse). RNAcentral's name for it is "lncRNA (ENSECAG00000044476.1)". Lineage: Eukaryota; Metazoa; Chordata; Mammalia; Perissodactyla; Equidae. The record is from RNAcentral.
CUAGAACCCAGGCAUUGUACUACACAAUAAGCAGCCUUCCAAAGAAUUAUUCUCCCGGUUCUGAGUUUCUCUAUUCCUUAAAAAAAUUUUUUGGGGAAAAAUGCAGUUAUUGUUUUACCCAUUCAAAGCACAAACAGAAAAGUAGAACUAAAGCCACCGCCAUGUUUUCCUGCGACUCUCAGCCCAGGCCUCCUGCCGGGCAGCAGUGGGGGCCGAGUGACUCAGGGAAUUAAGCAUCCGGCUCGCCACCCGGGACCUCCAUCGAAUUUUCAGUGACCUUGUGAAAAUUGCUUCAAGCAUCUGUGCCUCUGCUUUUAAAAGGUGCCUGGGGACACCCAAGUGGAAAUGUCCAGCAGACAUUUGAAUCAUAACCAAAGAAGAUGAAAACCACAGAGGAGUGGUGCAGGUGGAGAGACUGAUUUUUGAAUCAUCGUGGUAACUGAAGUCAUGGAAGUGGACAACAUCAGCCAAGGACGGUGUCAGGAUCAAGUACAAGAAAAACCACACGUAACUUCUGCUUUGAAGCCCAAGGAUGACGUCAGUGAAGUUAGAAGUCCCAUUACACUGGUGUCUCUGCUGCACUCAUGUAAACCUUCUGGUCUGUUUCACACAAACUCUAGCGAGACCAUCUGGCUGCAAGUGGCAGAUACUCAACUCAAACUAGUUUAGGGAAAAACAAAAGGAGCAUGGGCUCAAAGAACCAGGAGAUCCAAGUUAGACUUCAGACAUAACUGCAUCCAGGGUGCUCCAAGGCUUAUUUCUGAUUUGCAACCUUCUCUAAGGAAGCUCCUUCUACAAGGUAGACAAGAUGAGCCCCAGCCAACCCAGCUCACAGCCUCAAAGCUUAGCACUAUCAGUGGAAAGAAUACUGCUUUUUCCAAGUGUACGUACAUUAAUCCUAGAGAAGACAUCGAUUGGCCCUGCCUAGGACUUAUGACCAACCAUAAUUCAAUUGCAGUGGCCAGGAUAAUGGAAACCCGGAUCGGCAGCUCUCAGAAAACUUAAAAUUCUUGAGAUCCACUCUAGACCUGAAUCAGAAUAUCUAAGGAAGAAUCCCAGGUGUUAAUACUUUUUACAAGCUGCUAGAGUGACUCUUAUUGAAGGGGUUCACAGAUCGUGUUUUGAGAAACACUGCAAGCUCCCCAACUGGCUGGGACAGGAUGUUGCCUGAGAAGACCUCAGGUCUGCACCCUGUCAGUCUCGGUGAAGCUGGAAAACGUUCAGGCUUUUGAGUGGACUUGGGCUCAAAUCUGGUGUGG